CAAUAGCGUAUAUUAAAGUUGUUGCAGUUAGAACGCUCGUAGUCGGAUUUCGGGGCGGGCCGACCGGUCUGCCGAUGGGUAUGCACUGGUCGGCGCGUCCUUCCUUCCGGAGACCGUCCCUACUCUUAACUGAGCGGGGGCGGGAGACGGGACUUUUACUUUGAAAAAAUCGGAGUGUUUCAAGCAGGCAGCUCGCUCUUGCAUGGAUUAGCAUGGGAUAAUGAAAUAGGACUUUGGUGCUAUUUUGUUGGUUUCGAACACCGAAGUAAUGAUGAGAAGGGACAGUCAGGGGCACUCGUAUUCCGCCGAGAGAGGUGAAAUUCUCAGACCAGCGGAAGACGAACCACUGCGAAAGCAUUUGCCAGGGAUGUUUNCACUG
RNAcentral lists this ribosomal RNA (379 nucleotides) under uncultured eukaryote. Its description in RNAcentral is "partial 18S ribosomal RNA". It matches the Rfam family "Eukaryotic small subunit ribosomal RNA", at positions 592 to 975 of the family's 1831-position model. The record is from RNAcentral.